AAGGCUUAUUCACUUGUGGUCCUUCUUCCUGAGAUAGGGAAUGGCCCUGAGAGGAGCACAGAAAAGGGGUUACAGACAGGAGAGUGUGUGCUCCCUCCCAAAGGCUCCACCGUAGUCAUUGCUUUCCCAUAGUUGUAGAAUGGAGGCCUCCCUAAGUCUCCCCAGCAAUGCACUCUAGCCUUGUUCUGCACAGCAGUCAGGGCAGAACUGCACACGUGUGGUAUGAAAUGAUGAGAUACUCAUAUGACUUAUAGGCCUUCAGAGAAAUCUGGACGGACACCCCGAGUGCUGAGACCAUAAAGGCAGGACACUCUUGGGGGACAGGGUGUUCUCGCUGCACCCCUUAAAACUUUCCAGCCUGCCCUCUGGAGAUCAAAUCUUUAAUAAACAUUUACCACAAAGAAA
Molecule: long non-coding RNA, 405 nt
Filed under: Mus pahari (shrew mouse)
Lineage: Eukaryota; Metazoa; Chordata; Mammalia; Rodentia; Muridae
Description: lncRNA (MGP_PahariEiJ_G0002740.1)
Source: RNAcentral